Molecule: long non-coding RNA, 202 nt
Organism: Xenia sp. Carnegie-2017
Lineage: Eukaryota; Metazoa; Cnidaria; Anthozoa; Malacalcyonacea; Xeniidae
Exons: 4
Source: RefSeq, a predicted model, not a curated record
AAAAAGCCAGCAACUACAAUCAGGAAAGAAUGCAGUGAAGAGAGUGAAAGAGUGAACUGUUUUGAUGGCAUUGUAAUAUACAAGAGUGAUGUCGAAACAUUAAAUGGAAGCAAGUGGUUGUGUGAUACCAUAAUUGACUUUUUUUUAAGGUAUUACUGCAAAACGGCAGAAAGAAAAGACGAUGGGGAACAAUAUUAUGCCU